This is a non-coding RNA of Streptococcus sobrinus W1703, 162 nucleotides long. NCBI's taxonomy places the organism in Bacteria, Bacillati, Bacillota, Bacilli, Lactobacillales, Streptococcaceae. The record is from Rfam.
AGGUUUUAAGAAAACCGACCUAAGACAGCAGGGGAGUUAGACUCAUAAACAUCCUGCCGAGGCACAAAAACGUAAACAUCUUAGCUGGUGAAAACUGGCUAGUCUAUAAAACGUAUUUGUACUUUCGUGUCUAGGUUUGGAUGCGAUUUUUUCGUUUCCAGA